AGUCAGCCGGACUCGCGAAUGCUCUAGAUUAAAGUUUGAUCAUGGCUCAGAUUGAACGCUGGCGGCCAAGCCUAACACAUGCAAGUCGAACGGUAACAGGAAGCAGCUUGCUGCUUUGCUGACGAGUGGCGGACGGGUGAGUAAUGUCUGGGAAACUGCCUGAUGGAGGGGGAUAACUACUGGAAACGGUAGCUAAUACCGCAUAACGUCGCAAGGCCAAAGAGGGGGACCUUCGGGCCUCUUGCCAUCGGAUGUGCCCAGAUGGGAUUAGCUAGUAGUGGGGUAACGGCUCACCUAGCGACGAUCCCUAGCUGGUCUGAGAGGAUGACCAGCCACACUGGAACUGAGACACGGUCCAGACUCCUACGGGAGGCAGCAGUGGGGAAUAUUGCACAAUGGGCGCAAGCCUGAUUGCAGCCAUGCCGCGUGUAUGAAGAAGGCCUUCGGGUUUGUAAAGUACUUUCAGCGGGGAGGACGGGCGAUUACGUGUUUAUUAACCUUGUCGCAUUUGACCGUUACCCGCCAGGAAAGAAAGCACCGGGCUAACUCCG
Molecule: ribosomal RNA, 551 nt
Filed under: uncultured bacterium
Lineage: Bacteria
Description: bacterial SSU rRNA
Rfam family: Bacterial small subunit ribosomal RNA
Source: RNAcentral